Molecule: ribosomal RNA, 553 nt
Filed under: uncultured fungus
Lineage: Eukaryota; Fungi
Description: SSU rRNA
Rfam family: Eukaryotic small subunit ribosomal RNA
Source: RNAcentral
GUAGUCAUAUGCUUGUCUCAAAGAUUAAGCCAUGCAUGUCUAAGUAUAAGCAACUUGUACUGUGAAACUGCGAAUGGCCCAUUAAAUCAGUUAUCGUUUAUUUGAUAGUACCUUACUACAUGGAUACCUGUGGUAAUUCUAGAGCUAAUACAUGCUAAAAACCCCGACUUCAGGAAGGGGUGUAUUUAUUAGAUAAAAAACCAACGCCCUUCGGGGCUCCUUGGUGAAUCAUAAUAACUUAACGAAUCGCAUGGCCUUGCGCCGGCGAUGGUUCAUUCAAAUUUCUGCCCUAUCAACUUUCGAUGGUAGGAUAGUGGCCUACCAUGGUGGCAACGGGUAACGGGGAAUUAGGGUUCGAUUCCGGAGAGGGAGCCUGAGAAACGGCUACCACAUCCAAGGAAGGCAGCAGGCGCGCAAAUUACCCAAUCCCGAUACGGGGAGGUAGUGACAAUAAAUACUGAUACGGGGCUCUUUUGGGUCUCGUAAUUGGAAUGAGAACAAUUUAAAUCCCUUAACGAGGAACAAUUGGAGGGCAAGUCUGGUGCCAGCAGCC